RNAcentral lists this unclassified non-coding RNA (249 nucleotides) under Hevea brasiliensis (rubber tree). Lineage: Eukaryota; Viridiplantae; Streptophyta; Magnoliopsida; Malpighiales; Euphorbiaceae. The record is from RNAcentral.
GGGUUCAAAAGCACAUAUGAGAGGUACCAUGUGUCUUCUAUCAAGAAGAACAUAUUAAGUCGAAGCUUCUAAAUCUGCAAAACUGUAAGUACUUCCUUUCCUCCAUCCUCACUGCAUUGGAUGUAUCUUGAUCUGAAGCCAUUCACUAUUCUGGAGGAUUUCUCUCAUUGAUAUUACCAAGUGGCUAAACUAUAUCUUUUCUCUGAUUUGUCAACUAGAGCUCUCUAGAUGAGAGGCACCGUCAUAGAU